CAGAUUGAACGCUGGCGGCAGGCCUAACACAUGCAAGUCGAACGGUAACAGGAAGAAGCUUGCUUCUUUGCUGACGAGUGGCGGACGGGUGAGUAAUUUCUGGGAAACUGCCUGAUGGAGGGGGAUAACUACUGGAAACGGUAGCUAAUACCGCAUAACGUCGCAAGACCAAAGAGGGGGACCUUCGGGCCUCUUGCCAUCGGAUGUGCCCAGAUGGGAUUAGCUUGUUGGUGGGGUAACGGCUCACCAAGGCGACGAUCCCUAGCUGGUCUGAGAGGAUGACCAGCCACACUGGAACUGAGACACGGUCCAGACUCCUACGGGAGGCAGCAGUGGGGAAUAUUGCACAAUGGGCGCAAGCCUGAUGCAGCCAUGCCGCGUGUAUGAAGAAGGCCUUCGGGUUGUAAAGUACUUUCAGCGGGGAGGAAGGGAGUAAAGUUAAUACCUUUGCUCAUUGACGUUACCCGCAGAAGAAGCACCGGCUAACUCCGUGCCAGCAGCCGCGGUAAUA
This 511-nucleotide ribosomal RNA is filed under the name uncultured bacterium. RNAcentral's name for it is "bacterial SSU rRNA". It matches the Rfam family "Bacterial small subunit ribosomal RNA", at positions 25 to 525 of the family's 1533-position model. The record is from RNAcentral.